This 272-nucleotide ribosomal RNA is filed under the name Salmonella enterica. RNAcentral's name for it is "partial 23S ribosomal RNA". It matches the Rfam family "Bacterial large subunit ribosomal RNA", at positions 343 to 615 of the family's 2925-position model. Lineage: Bacteria; Pseudomonadati; Pseudomonadota; Gammaproteobacteria; Enterobacterales; Enterobacteriaceae. The record is from RNAcentral.
UGGAAAGGCGCGCGAUACAGGGUGACAGCCCCGUACACAAAAGCGCAUGUGCUGUGAGCUCGAUGAGUAGGGCGGGACACGUGGUAUCCUGUCUGAAUAUGGGGGGACCAUCCUCCAAGGCUAAAUACUCCUGACUGACCGAUAGUGAACCAGUACCGUGAGGGAAAGGCGAAAAGAACCCCGGCGAGGGGAGUGAAAAAGAACCUGAAACCGUGUACGUACAAGCAGUGGGAGCACAGGUUUACCUGUGUGACUGCGUACCUUUUGUAUAA